UUCAGCUUGGUAUAGUGGUUUGAAUGUUAGAAUACAACUCUGGAGACCAGGGUUCAAGUCCCAGCUCAAG
RNAcentral lists this transfer RNA (70 nucleotides) under Phrynosoma platyrhinos (Desert horned lizard). Its description in RNAcentral is "tRNA-OTHER". Lineage: Eukaryota; Metazoa; Chordata; Lepidosauria; Squamata; Phrynosomatidae. The record is from RNAcentral.